AUUCCAUUAUGAGGGUAUUUUUGUAAUAGUUCUUUCAAUCCUUCACAAGCCUCAUACAAGGAAUCAUCACUUAUUUGUUGGAAAGUAGUGAUUUCAUUUCACAACUU
This 107-nucleotide small nucleolar RNA is filed under the name Gossypium hirsutum (cotton). Its description in RNAcentral is "Plant small nucleolar RNA R71". It matches the Rfam family "Plant small nucleolar RNA R71". From Rfam's summary of the family: R71 is a member of the C/D box family of snoRNAs containing the C (UGAUGA) and D (CUGA) box motifs. Multiple nearly identical copies of this snoRNA have been identified in Arabidopsis, and it is thought to function as a 2'-O-ribose methylation guide for 18S ribosomal RNA. The record is from Rfam by way of RNAcentral. Lineage: Eukaryota; Viridiplantae; Streptophyta; Magnoliopsida; Malvales; Malvaceae.